RNAcentral lists this ribosomal RNA (439 nucleotides) under uncultured bacterium. RNAcentral's name for it is "partial 16S ribosomal RNA". It matches the Rfam family "Bacterial small subunit ribosomal RNA", at positions 339 to 795 of the family's 1533-position model. The record is from RNAcentral.
CUACGGGCUGCUGCAGUGGGGAAUCUUGCACAAUGGAGGAAACUCUGAUGCAGCGAUGCCGCGUGAGUGAAGAAGGCCCUUGGGUUGUAAAGCUCUUUUGUCGGGAAAGAUAAUGACUGUACCCGAAGAAUAAGGUCCGGCUAACUUCGUGCCAGCAGCCGCGGUAAUACGAAGGGACCUAGCGUAAUUCGGAAUUACUGGGCGUAAAGCGCGCGUAGGCGGUUAAGUAAGUUAAUUGUGAAAGCCCAAAGCUCAACUUUGGAAUUGCAAUUAAAACUACUUAGCUAGAGUUUAUCAGAGGAAAGCGGAAUACAUAGUGUAGAGGUGAAAUUCGUAGAUAUUAUGUAGAACACCAGUUGCGAAGGCGGCUUUCUGGGAUAACACUGACGCUGAGGUGCGAAAGUAUGGGUAGCGAAGAGGAUUAGAUACCCGCGUAGUC